CAAUAGCGUAUAUUUAAGUUGUUGCAGUUAAAAAGCUCGGAGUUGGAUUUCGGUUGAGAACGGCCGGUCCGCCGUUUGGUGUGCACUGGCUGGUUUCAACUUCCUGUAGAGGACGUGCUCUGGCUUCACGGCUGGACGCGGAGUCUACGUGGUUACUUUGAAAAAAUUAGAGUGUUCAAAGCGGGCUUACGCUUGAAUAUUUCAGCAUGGAAUAACACUAUAGGACUCCUGUCCUAUUUCGUUGGUCUCGGGACGGGAGUAAUGAUUAAGAGGAACAGUUGGGGGCAUUCGUAUUUCAUUGUCAGAGGUGAAAUUCUUGGAUUUAUGAAAGACGAACUUCUGCGAAAGCAUUUGCCAAGGAUGUUUUCAUUAA
RNAcentral lists this ribosomal RNA (373 nucleotides) under uncultured eukaryote. Its description in RNAcentral is "partial 18S ribosomal RNA". It matches the Rfam family "Eukaryotic small subunit ribosomal RNA", at positions 592 to 976 of the family's 1831-position model. The record is from RNAcentral.